AUAUGCUUGUUCCAAAGAUUAAGCCAUGCAGGCCUAAGAAGUAGAAGCUGGAUCAGAAAUCUGCGGGAGGCUCCGUAUAUCUGGUACAACCUAGUGCCCGCCAAUACCGGAUAUCCCAGGUAAUUCUUAGGCUAAUACGUGCCAAUCCAAGGGCUGUCAAGGGUAUUACCCAUGAUUAUCCCUGGGCUUGUGCACCCUACCAAGGCCCCCCACCGGCUGGCGGGGGGACUGUGGGAGGACGUACAAGCGUUCCACACCGUCCUCGUGGCGGCACGGACAAUGGGUGCCAGACCUAUCAACCUGGGGGCCGGGGCGAGCCCUGCACCGGUUAUAACGGGUACAGAGGAUCAGGGUUCGGUUCUGGAGAGGUAGCCUUAGAGAUCGCUACUACUUCUAAGGAAGGCAGCAGGCGCGCAACGUUCCCCAUGGGUAUGCCCUGAGGACGUGACGGGGCAUAGCAACGCGGCAUUUGUUUAAUCGGUGCCUCGAUUGGAAUGGGGGGAGCCUAGAUCCCCCCCCGAGUAACG
Molecule: ribosomal RNA, 527 nt
Filed under: Hemitrichia clavata
Lineage: Eukaryota; Evosea; Eumycetozoa; Trichiida; Trichiidae
Description: partial small subunit ribosomal RNA
Rfam family: Eukaryotic small subunit ribosomal RNA
Source: RNAcentral